GAUGAAGAACGUAGCGAAAUGCGAUAAGUAAUGUGAAUUGCAGAAUUCAGUGAAUCAUCGAAUCUUUGAACGCACCUUGCACCCUUUGGCAUUCUGAAGGGUAUGCUCGUUUGAGUGUCAUUGUACUCUCACACUCCCGAUCUUUGCAUUGGGAGCAGUGGACUUGGGUUUGCUGCUUCACCGUCGCUUACCUCAAAUAGGUUAGUGCAACUCUUGGUUGGACAUAGUACGGCGUGAUAAGUGUUCUUCGCCGGUGCCUCGCAAAGAGGGUGGCCGAUCGGGAUGUUGUGCUCCAAACCGUCUUCAGACAAUCUCUGACGACUUGACCUCAAAUCGAGUAAGACUACCCGCUGAACUUAAGCAUAUCAAUAAGCGGAGGA
RNAcentral lists this unclassified non-coding RNA (380 nucleotides) under soil metagenome. Its description in RNAcentral is "partial contains 5.8S ribosomal RNA, internal transcribed spacer 2, and large subunit ribosomal RNA". The stretch from base 1 to 120 matches the Rfam family "5.8S ribosomal RNA", at positions 35 to 154 of the family's 154-position model. The record is from RNAcentral.